RNAcentral lists this ribosomal RNA (462 nucleotides) under uncultured bacterium. Its description in RNAcentral is "partial 16S ribosomal RNA". It matches the Rfam family "Bacterial small subunit ribosomal RNA", at positions 28 to 507 of the family's 1533-position model. The record is from RNAcentral.
GACGAACGCUGGCGGCGUGCUUAACACAUGCAAGUCGAACGGUAAGGCCUUUCGGUGUACACGAGUGGCGGUCGCGUGCGUGACACGUGCGUGUUCUGCCCUGCACUUCGGGAUAAGGCCGGGAAACUGAGUCUAAUACUGGAUCGGACUGCGCGUUGCAUGCCGUUUGGUGGAAAUAUUUAUCGGUGCUGGAUGGGCCCGCGGCCUAUCAGCUUGUUGGUGUGGUAAUGGCCUACCAAGGCGACGACGGGUAGCCGGCCUGAGAGGGCGACCGGCCACACUGGGACUGAGACACGGCCCAGACUCCUACGGGAGGCAGCAGUGGGGAAUAUUGCACAAUGGGCGCAAGCCUGAUGCAGCGACGCCGCGUGCGGGAUGACGGCCUUCGGGUUGUAAACCUCUUUCAGCUGGGACGAAGCGUGAGUGACGGUACCUGCAGAAGAAGCACCGGCCAACUACGUG